AUUCCCCUAGUAACUGCGAGUGAAGCGGGAAAAGCUCAAAUUUAAAAUCUGGCAGUCUUUGAUUGUCCGAGUUGUAAUCUAGAGAAGUGUUAUCCGCGUUGGACCGUGUACAAGUCUCCUGGAAUGGAGCAUCAUAGAGGGUGAGAAUCCCGUCUUUGACACGGACUACCAGUGCUUUGUGAUGCGCUCUCAAAGAGUCGAGUUGUUUGGGAAUGCAGCUCAAAAUGGGUGGUAAAUUCCAUCUAAAGCUAAAUAUUGGCGAGAGACCGAUAGCGAACAAGUACCGUGAGGGAAAGAUGAAAAGAACUUUGGAAAGAGAGUUAAACAGUACGUGAAAUUGCUGAAAGGGAAACGCUUGAAGUCAGUCGCGUUGGCUGGAAAUCAACCUUGCUUUUGCUGGGCGUACUUUCUAGUCAAUGGGUCAGCAUCAAUUUUGACCAUUGGAAAAAGUGUAGAGGAAUGUGGCAUCUUCGGAUGUGUUAUAGCCUUUGCUCGCAUACAGUGGUUGGGAUUGAGGAAUUCAGCACGCCGCAAGGGCCGGGUUUCGACCACGUUCGUGCUUAGGAUGCUGGCAUAAUGGCUUUAAUCGACCCGUCUUGAAACACGGACCAAGGAGUCUAACAUACCUGCGAGUGUUUGGGUGGAAAACCCAAGCGCGUAAUGAAAGUGAAAGUUGAGAUCCCUGUCGUGGGGAGCAUCGACGCCCGGACCANACCUUUUGUGACGDAUCUGCGGUAGAGCAUGUAUGUUGGGACCCGAAAGAUGGUGAACUAUGCCUGAAUAGGGUGAAGCCAGAGGAAACUCUGGUGGAGGCUCGUAGCGAUUCUGACGUGCAAAUCGAUCGUCAAAUUUGGGUAUAGGG
RNAcentral lists this ribosomal RNA (862 nucleotides) under Conocybe apala. Its description in RNAcentral is "partial large subunit ribosomal RNA". Lineage: Eukaryota; Fungi; Basidiomycota; Agaricomycetes; Agaricales; Bolbitiaceae. The record is from RNAcentral.